AUACUUAACCUAACAGAGAGAUACCAUGAUCAGGCAGGUGGUUUUCCCAGAGCGAGGCUCAUCCAUUGUACUGGCGAUGUGCUGACCCCUGGGAUUUCCCCAAAUGUGGCAAACUUGACUGCAUAACUUGUGGUAGAGGCAAACUGCGUUCACGCGCUCCCCUU
Molecule: small nuclear RNA, 164 nt
Organism: Ochotona princeps (American pika)
Lineage: Eukaryota; Metazoa; Chordata; Mammalia; Lagomorpha; Ochotonidae
Product: U1 spliceosomal RNA
Exons: 1
Source: RefSeq, a predicted model, not a curated record